ACAAUACUAGGACCGUCGGUCUACCGAGCAAUAUCACCCGCUCGUUGAAAGAUCUUCCUUUUGUCGU
RNAcentral lists this microRNA precursor (67 nucleotides) under Bombyx mori (domestic silkworm). RNAcentral describes it as "mir-2774 microRNA precursor family". It matches the Rfam family "mir-2774 microRNA precursor family". Lineage: Eukaryota; Metazoa; Arthropoda; Insecta; Lepidoptera; Bombycidae. The record is from Rfam by way of RNAcentral.